AGAGCCUUUUGAAUGUUCUGAUUGGAAAUCUUAAUGUUAGCUUUGUCUCUUAUUGAUAGCAUUAUUACCUUGCUGAUUGAUAGCAAUGUCUGUCUACUUAGUCAAUCAAGCCUGGAAAUUGGGACUCAUUCUGGAUGCUUCCUCCCCUUCAGCUAUGUUUCUAUUCAUCCUCAGACCUUCUUGCAUCAACCAUGGUGACUCCUCAUACUCAACCAUUUGUUGUUUAGUCACUCAGUCGUGUCUGACUCUUUUGUAACCCCACUCGAACUGUAGCCCGCCAGGCACCUCCAUCCCUGGGAUUUCCCAGGCAAGAAUACUAGAGUGUGUUGCCAUUUCCUUUUCCAGGAAAUCUUCCCGGUCCAGGGAUUGAACCUGCGUCUCCUGUGCUGGCAGGCUUGUUCUUUACCACUGUGCCAUCAAGGAAACCCUGUAUUUACCUACUAGAGAGACUACUGCCUCGCAUAAACUCUGUGGUGAAGAGCCUUCAGCUGCCCUGUCAGAUGGAUUUAGAAGGCUUGGUGGCGGCCCGGAAGACCUGGCGCUUCAAAGCCCUACUUUGCCUUGGGGACCCUCGUCCAUGGGCACCCCCAGCCCUUUUCUUUUAUUUGAGUUUGAAUUCACACUUGCUGGCCCUUGCCUCUUCCCUGUAAUUCCUUUUAAUGGGCUGGGCUUUCCUGUGAAUACUCCAGUUUUCAGUGGAGAAACUGGCCUCAGAGAAGUUGGGUGAUAGAGGCUGAGUCACAGGGAAUGCACUAGGCCGAAAUGACUUAGUACAUGUCUCAUGGCAAUUUAAUACUGCACUCUGCCUAAGCCUGGAGAUGCUCAGAGAUCAUAGACAGACUCAUCUGAGAUUCAUUCCUGAAGCUUCACAAACUCCUCUUCAAAUAGUUUGCAGUCUAUAGUUAUCAGGGCUUUAAAAUUUUUUUUUUUUUGGUAAACUUUUUUUUUUAACAACAUCUCUUACAAACAAUGUUUUGUUUUUGCUCACUUCAGUUUCUUUGAAAAUUUCUCUCCUAUUGACCAUUCAUUUAGUCACCACACAUUUAUUGAGUUCUUACUGUAUGCCAGGCAUUGUGCUAGGUGCUGGGGAUGGAUUCAGAGAUAAUUUGGAGGCGUUUGGGAGUGGAUAAUUACAGCACAGUGAGAUAAGUGCUAUAAUAGAGGGAUAUAUAAAGAGCUAGAAAUAGCACUAUGAAUAACAUCUCUGAACAAACUGCGUUCUUUUUUCCUCUUGGAUUAUUCCCUUAUGUAUAUUGCCCAAAGUGGGAUUACUGGGUCAUUUAAAAGAUGAAAACAAUUUGGCACAAAAAGAUGUAAUGACUUGCCUGGGGAAUACAGCUCAAUUUUCUAUGGGGGAAAAUUGUUGACAAGUCCAGAUUUAGAUACUUCACCAGGAGAAUUGGGCAGUUUUUGUACUAUUCCUAUCAAUGUGGUGGUUUUCAGGGGAGCACCUCUUCUUAACAUGUCACCGCACAUGUAGAAACACGUGUCCUUAUAUUUAAUCUCAUAGAUCCCUUGUUGAUGCUCACUACCUAUGUAUUAAUAAGUAUGGUCAUUUCCAUUUUAUGAAUGAGAAUGUGCCUUUGUUAAAAAGAAGUGACUUGCUCAGGAUUCCAUAGUUAUUAGUGGAGAAUCGAAACAUCAGGUGUAAGAUUUUUUGAUUCUGUAUCUUCUUUCCUGUUUUCCAUGCUCUUUUUACCAACUGAGGCUUGGGCUGGGGUUACUUUAUUCCAGUGAGGGCUUGAAAUUCAUUUAGUGGUUGUAGAAGCUCUUCUCUAAAAGGUCAGAAUCCAUGAGAUAGGUAUAGAAGUCCUAACUUCCAGAGGGUCUGGUGUCCUUCUAUACAUUGACCUGAAAGGGCCUGAAGGCUCAUUAUUCCUGACCCUGGCUCAGGUCUUGAAAGGUUAAUGCAUGGCCUUAGCACUGAAGCGCAGAAUCCCAAGGAAAGCUGAGACCGCACGACAGUCCUGCUUUGAAACAUUUAUUGUUUUUCUUGUAUACUCGGCUGUAUGCUUCCCAGCUUUAAAUUCACUUAUUUUGUUAUUCAUAACAUUUCCCUAGUAUUUUUGGCAUUUAAGUGAAAACUUCUACCCCAGGUACCCGUAAUCAGACAGCAGUACCUGUUCAGUGUGAACACCCAUCAUUCUCCCAGUCUCUCAUUUAGUCACCUUCUGCCAUAACUCAUGCUGUUCCUUUGCUUGAGAUGACCUCUCCCAUCGUCAUCCCUAGGACUCCUGCUCCUCCUAUAAACUUCUGCACACAUACCCCCUUUCUGAGUGGAUACUUCACCUUCUGAGUGAAGUAACCUCUGGUCACUGCCCACUUCCCGCCGUCCACAGUUCCCCAGAAUUGGUCUCUUUGUUUUCUGUUUUGCUGACUCACAACACAGUGGGCUCUGAGGCAAUAAAGUAUAACCAUGUGAUACUUAUGAGCAUGGGAUCUGGAUUUGAAUCUUGCUGUGAUGCUUCCUAGCUGUGUGAUCUGUUAGGCCAGUUAAGCUGGUAAGUUUGCUCAUCUGUCAAGUCUGUACAAGUAAUCACGGCAACCUACAGUGUUGUUUGGAGGAUUUGUAUUGUUAUCUGUGCCUCUGCUAUGGCACCCACCAUCAUGUAGUCUUUCUAGACUGGGAGCUAUUUAAGGGCAGAAAGGGAAUUACACCUUGCCUGUGCCUUUGCCUUAUGGGACCUGCCACAAAAUCCCCUUUAAGGGAAAGGAUUCCAUGUAACAUCCCAGUAGUGUCAGUUCAGGCUCAUAUGUAGGCCCCAGUAAUGUGGUCCCAGGACUGUCCAGGAGCUCUAUGAUGUCGUGCUUCUUGCACACACAGUACAUGCUGCAUAGACUUCUGGCUCCUGCUUCUUGAGUGACAGGAAAGAGGCUUGAGCUUGUGUUUAGCCUAUGUUCUUCUGAUUCAUCAAAUUGGAUAGCUUUGUCAUUUCCCUGAAGGCAGAGUGG
Molecule: long non-coding RNA, 2952 nt
Organism: Bos grunniens (domestic yak)
Lineage: Eukaryota; Metazoa; Chordata; Mammalia; Artiodactyla; Bovidae
Source: Ensembl